This 494-nucleotide ribosomal RNA is filed under the name uncultured bacterium. Its description in RNAcentral is "partial 16S ribosomal RNA". It matches the Rfam family "Bacterial small subunit ribosomal RNA", at positions 28 to 507 of the family's 1533-position model. The record is from RNAcentral.
GACGAACGCUGGCGGCGUGCUUAACACAUGCAAGUCGAACGGUGAAGCGCCUUCCUUUUUGGUGGGUGUGGAUGAGUGGCGAACGGGUGAGUAACACGUGAGUAACCUGCCCCCUUCUUCUGGAUAACCGCAUGAAAGUGUGGCUAAUACGGGAUAUUCUGGGUCUGUCGCAUGAUGGGUCUGGGAAAGAUAUUGUUUCGGUGGGGGAUGGGCUCGCGGCCUAUCAGCUUGUUGGUGGGGUGAUGGCCUACCAAGGCGGUGACGGGUAGCCGGCCUGAGAGGGUGGACGGUCACACUGGGACUGAGACACGGCCCAGACUCCUACGGGAGGCAGCAGUGGGGAAUAUUGCACAAUGGGCGCAAGCCUGAUGCAGCGACGCCGCGUGAGGGAUGAAGGCCUUCGGGUUGUGAACCUCUUUCGCCAGUGAAGCAGGCCUGCCUCGUUUGUGGGUGGGUUGACGGUAGCUGGAUAAGAAGCGCCGGCUAACUACGUG